CGGGCGCCGCGCCAUGGCUGCUCUGAGGCACAGCCGACCCCGCUGCAUCCGGGCCGCGCUCAGCUCCGGCUUCCAGAAGAGGCAGAGGAACGCCUUCCGUCGCUUCAAGGUGAAGGGGCCCGCGCCCCCUUGGGGUCUGCUGUCCUGCUUCUCGGCGACACCGGCACGGCCCCCCCAACACCACAUGUGUUCAAACCCCUGUCUUUUGAUCGAGGAAGAGAACAAGGGCUGCUUUCUCCCCAGCAGCCUGGAGGGUUCUAGAAUAUCUGAUACCAGCCCCGGGGGCUCUGAGGGGCCCGAGCCAGGCCUGGCCGCUGUCUGGGCCUCGCUGCCUGUGCAGGGGAAGGGGUGAGGACAGGUGAUCUAGUAUCUUCCAUGCUCCUCUGGCUCGGGGUCGAGAGCGAGCGCCGGGUUCUCCGCCCCGGUGUGACGGGAUCACGUCCGGCUGCCGAAUCUGCCUUCUUGCCGCGGCCUGGUUCUGCCUUUCCUGUUCCCGGCCCUGCUCCUUCUCGCCCACGCCGGGGGCUGCCGUCCUCCGGGUGUCCCCGCGGAGGGAACUGUGAGAGUGGCUUCCCCGGGUCCCUUGCCCUUGGACACUGGGCUGCUGCCGCCUGCCCUCACGCAAGGGAUUAUUCAGCCUUUUUUCUUUUGACUUCCCCAGGCCAACCACAGAAAGAAUCACAUGGACUUAAUCGAAGGUAUCUGGAGAGAGUUUUUAGAUCCUUACGAUGGCGAUUCGGACGAUCCCCCCCGUCAUCCCGCCUCCGGCUUCAGCGACUGUCCUCGGGGGGCCGUGAGCCGUCCGGGGUCUCCGCGCGCACUCAGGAGCGGGGGCCCCGGAGGAACCAGCUCGGAGGAGCCCCCCGCGUCGAAGCCCCCAGGCCGCCCGAGCCGGGGCCCCGCGCCCCUGGAGGCCGACGACGUGGACAUGCAGCCCGCGGAGGCCGGCAGCCCCCAGGCCCGGGGGCGGGCGGCCAGGCGCUCGGGGGUCCCCGGACGAGGACUGCGGGAUGUGGGAGGACCGCUGGCCCCGGGCGCCCGGCCCCCUCCUCCCCGCCGCGGGGCCCCCCGAGCCUGGCAGACACGCGCAGGGCCGCGGCAGAGCGGCCCGGCCACCCCCCAGGCUCGGCAGCGAGAAGGACAAGGGGCCCAAGCUCACCCUCUCCAAGAGGAAACUGGAACUUUUACUUGCGGAGCCUGAGAAAACGAAGAGAAAGAGGCAGUAUGUGGCCCAGAGCGAGGCAUGAACUGAGCACGAGUCUGGUGCCGGCGGCCCACACGCCCCAGGACCGCGCUGUUCCCCAGAGCCAAUAA
This 1314-nucleotide long non-coding RNA is filed under the name Canis lupus familiaris (dog). Its description in RNAcentral is "lncRNA (ENSCAFG00845005483.1)". The record is from RNAcentral. Lineage: Eukaryota; Metazoa; Chordata; Mammalia; Carnivora; Canidae.